GAUCAUGGCUCAGAGUGAACGCUGGCGGUAGGCCUAACACAUGCAAGUCGAACGGCAGCACAGUAAGAGCUUGCUCUUAUGGGUGGCGAGUGGCGGACGGGUGAGGAAUACAUCGGAAUCUACCUUUUCGUGGGGGAUAACGUAGGGAAACUUACGCUAAUACCGCAUACGACCUCGGUGAAGCAGGGGACCGUUCGGGCCGUUGUCGCGGAGUAGAUGAGCCGAUGUCGGAUUAGCUAGUUGGCGGGGUAAGGG
Molecule: ribosomal RNA, 255 nt
Filed under: uncultured bacterium
Lineage: Bacteria
Description: partial 16S ribosomal RNA
Rfam family: Bacterial small subunit ribosomal RNA
Source: RNAcentral